GACGAACGCUGGCGGCGUGCCUAAUACAUGCAAGUAGAACGCUGAAGAGAGGAGCUUGCUCUUCUUGGAUGAGUUGCGAACGGGUGAGUAACGCGUAGGUAACCUGCCUUGUAGCGGGGGAUAACUAUUGGAAACGAUAGCUAAUACCGCAUAACAAUGGAUGACACAUGUCAUUUAUUUGAAAGGGGCAAUUGCUCCACUACAAGAUGGACCUGCGUUGUAUUAGCUAGUAGGUGAGGUAACGGCUCACCUAGGCGACGAUACAUAGCCGACCUGAGAGGGUGGUCGGCCCCCCUGGGACUGGGACCCGGCCCCGACUCCUACGGGAGGCAGCAGUAGGGAAUCUUCGGCCAUGGGGGCAACCCUGACCGAGCAACGCCGCGUGAGUGAAGAAGGUUUUCGGAUCGUAAAGCUCUGUUGUAAGUCAAGAACGAGUGUGAGAGUGGAACGUUCACACUGUGACGGUAGCUUACCAGAAAGGGACGGCUAACUACGUG
RNAcentral lists this ribosomal RNA (497 nucleotides) under uncultured bacterium. RNAcentral describes it as "partial 16S ribosomal RNA". It matches the Rfam family "Bacterial small subunit ribosomal RNA", at positions 28 to 507 of the family's 1533-position model. The record is from RNAcentral.